Long non-coding RNA from Melanotaenia boesemani (Boeseman's rainbowfish), 358 nucleotides. RefSeq lists it as uncharacterized. NCBI's taxonomy places the organism in Eukaryota, Metazoa, Chordata, Actinopteri, Atheriniformes, Melanotaeniidae. The record is from RefSeq and is a predicted model, not a curated record. The transcript is spliced from 3 exons.
AGUGUUCUUCACUCCACCAUCUCCACCUUCUUCCUGGUUGUCUGACACUGCUGCAGCUUGUUUUGGAACAGGCCCUUUCCUGGGAGACUGGUAUAUCCCUGCUGGUAUGUACCUCUAGCUUGGUGGUAAUUUAGCAGGACUCACCAGUGGUGAUAACCGCAUGUGCUCCUAGGGGCGGGCUAACCGGAUAGGCUUGAGCUGUUUCUCUCCCCAGAGCUUACAGGUCCUCCAGCCCUGGACUUCUGCAGCCCUCCAGAGCCCCUAACUCCUGCUACUUAGGUCUACAUUGGUUAAACAGCCCUGUGUUAAUACCAUAAAGGAAAUGCUGCUGCUACUUUGCUUUGGCUUAGCUUUUACC